CCCAACCUCCAUAUUUUCAUUUCUUACCUUGCCCUCCAAGCUUAAAUAAAAAAACUCUCAAACCGAACAGCCACCGCCGAUCCGGAGAAGAGAAAAUGAAGCUGGUAUGGUCACCGGAGACGGCAACAAAAGCCUACAUCGGAACUGUUAAAGCAGUAAGCCUGCUCAAUUACUUUCUGUAAGAUUGAUUGAUUUCAGUCUUUUGAUUCGAUUUUUAUC
This 219-nucleotide long non-coding RNA is filed under the name Linum usitatissimum (flax). RNAcentral describes it as "long non-coding RNA (LUSI_LNC000299)". Lineage: Eukaryota; Viridiplantae; Streptophyta; Magnoliopsida; Malpighiales; Linaceae. The record is from RNAcentral.